AGUAAAGUUUAAAUGGRUUACAAUAAAAUUUAUUUAUAAUGGAUUUUUAUAUGAAAUUGUAGUUUGAAGGUGAAUUUGAUAGUAAUUUAUUUUAUAAUAUUUAUUUGAUUUUAGCUCUAAAAUAUGUACA
RNAcentral lists this ribosomal RNA (130 nucleotides) under Grylloblatta gurneyi. RNAcentral's name for it is "partial 12S ribosomal RNA". The record is from RNAcentral. Lineage: Eukaryota; Metazoa; Arthropoda; Insecta; Grylloblattodea; Grylloblattidae.